RNAcentral lists this ribosomal RNA (762 nucleotides) under uncultured Streptococcus sp. RNAcentral describes it as "bacterial SSU rRNA". It matches the Rfam family "Bacterial small subunit ribosomal RNA", at positions 28 to 775 of the family's 1533-position model. Lineage: Bacteria; Bacillati; Bacillota; Bacilli; Lactobacillales; Streptococcaceae. The record is from RNAcentral.
GAUGAACGCUGGCGGCGUGCCUAAUACAUGCAAGUAGAACGCUGAAGCUUGGUGCUUGCACCGAGCGGAUGAGUUGCGAACGGGUGAGUAACGCGUAGGUAACCUACCUCUUAGCGGGGGAUAACUAUUGGAAACGAUAGCUAAUACCGCAUAAAAGUCGACAUUGCAUGAUAUCGAUUUGAGAGGUGCAACUGCAUCACUAAGAGAUGGACCUGCGUUGUAUUAGCUAGUUGGUGAGGUAACGGCUCACCAAGGCGACGAUACAUAGCCGACCUGAGAGGGUGAUCGGCCACACUGGGACUGAGACACGGCCCAGACUCCUACGGGAGGCAGCAGUAGGGAAUCUUCGGCAAUGGACGGAAGUCUGACCGAGCAACGCCGCGUGAGUGAAGAAGGUUUUCGGAUCGUAAAGCUCUGUUGUAAGAGAAGAACGAGUGUGAGAGUGGAAAGUUCACACUGUGACGGUAACUUACCAGAAAGGGACGGCUAACUACGUGCCAGCAGCCGCGGUAAUACGUAGGUCCCGAGCGUUAUCCGGAUUUAUUGGGCGUAAAGCGAGCGCAGGCGGUUAGAUAAGUCUGAAGUUAAAGGCUGUGGCUUAACCAUAGUACGCUUUGGAAACUGUUUAACUUGAGUGCAGAAGGGGAGAGUGGAAUUCCAUGUGUAGCGGUGAAAUGCGUAGAUAUAUGGAGGAACACCGGUGGCGAAAGCGGCUCUCUGGUCUGUAACUGACGCUGAGCUCGAAGCGUGGGGAGCAACANG